GACGAACGCUGGCGGCGUGCCUAAUACAUGCAAGUGGGACGCAAGGGAACACACUGUGCUUGCACACCGUGUUUUCUUGAGUCGCGAACGGGUGAGUAACGCGUAGGUAACCUGCCUAUUAGCGGGGGAUAACUAUUGGAAACGAUAGCUAAUACCGCAUAAUAUUAAUUAUUGCAUGAUAAUUGAUUGAAAGAUGCAAGCGCAUCACUAGUAGAUGGACCUGCGUUGUAUUAGCUAGUUGGUAAGGUAAGAGCUUACCAAGGCGACGAUACAUAGCCGACCUGAGAGGGUGAUCGGCCACAUUGGGACUGAGACACGGCCCAGACUUCUACGGGAGGCAGCAGUAGGGAAUCUUCGGCAAUGGACGAAAGUCUGACCGAGCAACGCCGCGUGAGUGAAGAAGGUUUUCGGAUCGUAAAGCUCUGUUGUAAGUCAAGAACGUGUGUGAGAGUGG
RNAcentral lists this ribosomal RNA (454 nucleotides) under Streptococcus mutans. RNAcentral's name for it is "bacterial SSU rRNA". It matches the Rfam family "Bacterial small subunit ribosomal RNA", at positions 28 to 464 of the family's 1533-position model. The record is from RNAcentral. Lineage: Bacteria; Bacillati; Bacillota; Bacilli; Lactobacillales; Streptococcaceae.